This 207-nucleotide ribosomal RNA is filed under the name uncultured bacterium. RNAcentral's name for it is "partial 16S ribosomal RNA". It matches the Rfam family "Bacterial small subunit ribosomal RNA", at positions 568 to 774 of the family's 1533-position model. The record is from RNAcentral.
CACGUAGGCGGAUUGUUAAGUCGGGGGUGAAAUCCUGGAGCUCAACUCCAGAACUGCCUUCGAUACUGGCAAUCUCGAGUCCGGAAGAGGUAAGUGGAACUCCUAGUGUAGAGGUGGAAUUCGUAGAUAUUAGGAAGAACACCAGUGGCGAAGGCGGCUUACUGGUCCGGUACUGACGCUGAGGUGCGAAAGCGUGGGGAGCAAACA